Molecule: unclassified non-coding RNA, 25 nt
Filed under: Mus musculus (house mouse)
Lineage: Eukaryota; Metazoa; Chordata; Mammalia; Rodentia; Muridae
Description: oocyte_clustered_small_RNA10193
Source: RNAcentral
CUAGGGCUGGCGGCUUCCUGUAGCA